RNAcentral lists this ribosomal RNA (2923 nucleotides) under Escherichia coli. Its description in RNAcentral is "23S ribosomal RNA". It matches the Rfam family "Bacterial large subunit ribosomal RNA". The record is from RNAcentral. Lineage: Bacteria; Pseudomonadati; Pseudomonadota; Gammaproteobacteria; Enterobacterales; Enterobacteriaceae.
GGGUUGUGAGGUUAAGCGACUAAGCGUACACGGUGGAUGCCCUGGCAGUCAGAGGCGAUGAAGGACGUGCUAAUCUGCGAUAAGCGUCGGUGAGGUGAUAUGAACCGUUAUAACCGGCGAUUUCCGAAUGGGGAAACCCAGUGUGUUUCGACACACUAUCAUUAACUGAAUCCAUAGGUUAAUGAGGCGAACCGGGGGAACUGAAACAUCUAAGUACCCCGAGGAAAAGAAAUCAACCGAGAUUCCCCCAGUAGCGGCGAGCGAACGGGGAGGAGCCCAGAGCCUGAAUCAGUGUGUGUGUUAGUGGAAGCGUCUGGAAAGGCGCGCGAUACAGGGUGACAGCCCCGUACACAAAAAUGCACAUGCUGUGAGCUCGAUGAGUAGGGCGGGACACGUGGUAUCCUGUCUGAAUAUGGGGGACCAUCCUCCAAGGCUAAAUACUCCUGACUGACCGAUAGUGAACCAGUACCGUGAGGGAAAGGCGAAAAGAACCCCGGCGAGGGGAGUGAAAAAGAACCUGAAACCGUGUACGUACAAGCAGUGGGAGCCUCUUAAUGGGGUGACUGCGUACCUUUUGUAUAAUGGGUCAGCGACUUAUAUUCUGUAGCAAGGUUAACCGAAUAGGGGAGCCGAAGGGAAACCGAGUCUUAACUGGGCGUUAAGUUGCAGGGUAUAGACCCGAAACCCGGUGAUCUAGCCAUGGGCAGGUUGAAGGUUGGGUAACACUAACUGGAGGACCGAACCGACUAAUGUUGAAAAAUUAGCGGAUGACUUGUGGCUGGGGGUGAAAGGCCAAUCAAACCGGGAGAUAGCUGGUUCUCCCCGAAAGCUAUUUAGGUAGCGCCUCGUGAAUUCAUCUCCGGGGGUAGAGCACUGUUUCGGCAAGGGGGUCAUCCCGACUUACCAACCCGAUGCAAACUGCGAAUACCGGAGAAUGUUAUCACGGGAGACACACGGCGGGUGCUAACGUCCGUCGUGAAGAGGGAAACAACCCAGACCGCCAGCUAAGGUCCCAAAGUCAUGGUUAAGUGGGAAACGAUGUGGGAAGGCCCAGACAGCCAGGAUGUUGGCUUAGAAGCAGCCAUCAUUUAAAGAAAGCGUAAUAGCUCACUGGUCGAGUCGGCCUGCGCGGAAGAUGUAACGGGGCUAAACCAUGCACCGAAGCUGCGGCAGCGACACUAUGUGUUGUUGGGUAGGGGAGCGUUCUGUAAGCCUGUGAAGGUGUGCUGUGAGGCAUGCUGGAGGUAUCAGAAGUGCGAAUGCUGACAUAAGUAACGAUAAAGCGGGUGAAAAGCCCGCUCGCCGGAAGACCAAGGGUUCCUGUCCAACGUUAAUCGGGGCAGGGUGAGUCGACCCCUAAGGCGAGGCCGAAAGGCGUAGUCGAUGGGAAACAGGUUAAUAUUCCUGUACUUGGUGUUACUGCGAAGGGGGGACGGAGAAGGCUAUGUUGGCCGGGCGACGGUUGUCCCGGUUUAAGCGUGUAGGCUGGUUUUCCAGGCAAAUCCGGAAAACCAAGGCUGAGGCGUGAUGACGAGGCACUACGGUGCUGAAGCGACAAAUGCCCUGCUUCCGUGAAAAGCCUCUAAGCAUCAGGUAACAUCAAAUCGUACCCCAAACCGACACAGGUGGUCAGGUAGAGAAUACCAAGGCGCUUGAGAGAACUCGGGUGAAGGAACUAGGCAAAAUGGUGCCGUAACUUCGGGAGAAGGCACGCUGAUAUGUAGGUGAAGCGACUUGCUCGUGGAGCUGAAAUCAGUCGAAGAUACCAGCUGGCUGCAACUGUUUAUUAAAAACACAGCACUGUGCAAACACGAAAGUGGACGUAUACGGUGUGACGCCUGCCCGGUGCCGGAAGGUUAAUUGAUGGGGUUAGCGGUAACGCGAAGCUCUUGAUCGAAGCCCCGGUAAACGGCGGCCGUAACUAUAACGGUCCUAAGGUAGCGAAAUUCCUUGUCGGGUAAGUUCCGACCUGCACGAAUGGCGUAAUGAUGGCCGGCUGUCUCCACCCGAGACUCAGUGAAAUUGAACUCGCUGUGAAGAUGCAGUGUACCCGCGGCAAGACGGAAAGACCCCGUGAACCUUUACUAUAGCUUGACACUGAACAUUGAGCCUUGAUGUGUAGGAUAGGUGGGAGGCUUUGAAGUGUGGACGCCAGUCUGCAUGGAGCCGACCUUGAAAUACCACCCUUUAAUGUUUGAUGUUCUAACGUUGGCCCGUAAUCCGGGUUGCGGACAGUGUCUGGUGGGUAGUUUGACUGGGGCGGUCUCCUCCUAAAGAGUAACGGAGGAGCACGAAGGUUGGCUAAUCCUGGUCGGACAUCAGGAGGUUAGUGCAAUGGCAUAAGCCAGCUUGACUGCGAGCGUGACGGCGCGAGCAGGUGCGAAAGCAGGUCAUAGUGAUCCGGUGGUUCUGAAUGGAAGGGCCAUCGCUCAACGGAUAAAAGGUACUCCGGGGAUAACAGGCUGAUACCGCCCAAGAGUUCAUAUCGACGGCGGUGUUUGGCACCUCGAUGUCGGCUCAUCACAUCCUGGGGCUGAAGUAGGUCCCAAGGGUAUGGCUGUUCGCCAUUUAAAGUGGUACGCGAGCUGGGUUUAGAACGUCGUGAGACAGUUCGGUCCCUAUCUGCCGUGGGCGCUGGAGAACUGAGGGGGGCUGCUCCUAGUACGAGAGGACCGGAGUGGACGCAUCACUGGUGUUCGGGUUGUCAUGCCAAUGGCACUGCCCGGUAGCUAAAUGCGGAAGAGAUAAGUGCUGAAAGCAUCUAAGCACGAAACUUGCCCCGAGAUGAGUUCUCCCUGAGACUUAGAGUCUCCUGAAGGAACGUUGAAGACGACGACGUUGAUAGGCCGGGUGUGUAAGCGCAGCGAUGCGUUGAGCUAACCGGUACUAAUGAACCGUGAGGCUUAACCUUACAACGCCGAAG